GGGGCGUUAGCUCAGCUGGGAGAGCACUAGCUUUGCAAGCUAGGGGUCGCGAGUUCGAGCCUCGCACGCUCCA
Molecule: transfer RNA, 73 nt
Filed under: Gemmatimonadaceae bacterium
Lineage: Bacteria; Pseudomonadati; Gemmatimonadota; Gemmatimonadia; Gemmatimonadales; Gemmatimonadaceae
Also listed under: 1 other name
Description: tRNA-Ala
Rfam family: tRNA
About the family: Transfer RNA (tRNA) molecules are approximately 80 nucleotides in length.
Source: RNAcentral